Molecule: long non-coding RNA, 331 nt
Organism: Xenopus laevis (African clawed frog)
Lineage: Eukaryota; Metazoa; Chordata; Amphibia; Anura; Pipidae
Exons: 2
Source: RefSeq, a predicted model, not a curated record
CGACCCAACCACGUGACUGCCCUGCGGAGGAUUAUUAGCUGCUAUUGAGCGGUGGAUUCAUUCAAAUGACUGCUGCUUUGCUCUGGGAUAUGGAAGACAGGGCACUCUUCGUGAUAUCUGCAACAUAAUCGCUCUGCUGUUUUUGGAAUCCCAGCAUUGUGACCCUCCUUUCAUCUCCAUCUUUUUUAUUUUGUGCAAAUUAUAGUUUGUCUUUUCCAUUGUAUUGCCAAGAACGGAAGCUAUAUCCCAUGUUUUUAAAAUUGCAGUUCUCCUGACCACUCUGUACAUAAGCCACUUCAGUUUAUAUUAAAUAAAAUUAGCAAUGUUGCAA